This 385-nucleotide ribosomal RNA is filed under the name Cryothecomonas sp. Its description in RNAcentral is "partial small subunit ribosomal RNA". It matches the Rfam family "Eukaryotic small subunit ribosomal RNA", at positions 587 to 975 of the family's 1831-position model. Lineage: Eukaryota; Cercozoa; Thecofilosea; Cryomonadida; Protaspidae. The record is from RNAcentral.
AGCUCCAAGAGCGUAUAUUAAAGUUGUUGCAGUUAAAAAGCUCGUAGUUGGAUUUCUGGUAUUACGCGCCUGGCCCGCAUUUGUGAGUGCCGGUGCGCGUUUGCCAUCCUUCUAGAAAACGUUUCUACCCGGGCAACUGGGCCGGACUCGCGAUCUAGAUCUUUUACUUUGAAAAAAUUAGAGUGUUUAAAGCAGGCUUUUGCUGUGAAUACAUUAGCAUGGAAUAAUAAUCUAGGACUUCGGUUCUAUUUUGUUGGUUUCUAGUACUGAAGUAAUGAUUGAUAGGGAUAGUUGGGGGUGCUAGUAUUGGCCGGCCAGAGGUGAAAUUCUUGGAUUCGGUCAAGACUAACUUAUGCGAAAGCAUUCACCAAGGAUGUCUUCUUUA